RNAcentral lists this ribosomal RNA (666 nucleotides) under Treculia obovoidea. RNAcentral's name for it is "eukaryotic LSU rRNA". The stretch from base 258 to 413 matches the Rfam family "5.8S ribosomal RNA". The record is from RNAcentral. Lineage: Eukaryota; Viridiplantae; Streptophyta; Magnoliopsida; Rosales; Moraceae.
CUGCGGAAGAUCAUUGUCGAAACCUGCCCAGCAGAAAAACCGCGAACACGUCAGAACCACUUGGGGGGCAAGGGGUGCCAGUGCACCUCGGACCCCCUCUGCCUAAGGCUUGCGGCCAUGGCCGAUGCCCUAGGCUUAAAAACAAACCCCGGCGCGGAAUGCGUCAAGGAAAAAUGAUGGAACGACCCAUGCCACCGUGGCCCCGGAAAACGGUGCAUUGCUGCGGUGGCUGAUUCGUGACCGGUUUAAGUCAAAACGACUCUCGGCAACGGAUAUCUCGUCUCUCGCAUCGAUGAAAACGCAGCGAACUGCGAUACUUGGUGUGAAUUGCAGAAUCCCGUGAAACCAUCGAGUCUUUGAACGCAAGUUGCGCCCGAAGCCAUUCGGCCGAGGGCACGUCUGCCUGGGCGUCACACAUCGUUGCCCCCUAAAAACCCCACUCCACUCCUUGUUAGGUGUGUGUGGAUCGAUCAGGGGCAGAGGAUGGCCUCCCGUGUGCACUUUGUCCCGCGGCUGGUCCAAAAUUGAGUCCUCGGUCACAUCUUCGUGGCAAUAGGUGGUUGUCGAUCAUUCGGUGCCCCGUCACGUCUGUCGGCCUAGCAUCGGGACUCUUAUAGACCCCAAUGCAUCUGUUGUGGAUGCUUCCAAUGCGACCCCAGUCAGGCG